Molecule: long non-coding RNA, 654 nt
Organism: Erinaceus europaeus (western European hedgehog)
Lineage: Eukaryota; Metazoa; Chordata; Mammalia; Eulipotyphla; Erinaceidae
Exons: 2
Source: RefSeq, a predicted model, not a curated record
CCCUCCCCUCCUGUGACAGCAAGAGCAUGCCCAGGACAUGUGUCACAGGACAGCAUUGGAUAAAAGGCUGCUGUGCCCAGAUCCCUCAUCACAGCCUCCAGGACCAGCCUCUCUUGUCUCCUCCACAACUGACUCAUCACCUCAUCCGCCCAGAUGUCCUGCCAGCAGAGCCAGCAGCAGAGCCAGCUCCCUCCCAAGUGCCCCUCCCCCAAGUGCCCCCCCAAGAGUCCUGCUCACUGCUCCCCCCAGGCCUCCUCAGGCUGUGCCUCCAGCUCUGGGGGCUGCCAUGGCCCCAGCUCCCAGCCUGGUUGCUGCCUGAGCUCUCACAGGCGCCACAGGGCCCAUGGGUGCCGGCGCCAGAGCUCGGGGUCCUGUGACGAGGGCAGUGCUGGGCAGUGUGGGGGUUCUGGGGGCUGCUGACCUGAACCCUGGUGCUGAGAUGAGUGGCUUCAGAGAAGAUGGGGACCCAAGGACCAAGAGGGCCCCAGCCUGUAUCAUCCUACCCCAGGCCCCACCUCCCCCUCCCAAGGAGAAGCCUGAUCUCCAGGGAGCCUCUCCUGUGUGAUACCUGGACCACACAGCUCUUUUCUGUCCUGACCAGUGACAGCAAUGCCAUGGGGACCCAGAGAAAAAUAAAGCCUUGCUCUCUCAUCA